Molecule: long non-coding RNA, 361 nt
Organism: Ailuropoda melanoleuca (giant panda)
Lineage: Eukaryota; Metazoa; Chordata; Mammalia; Carnivora; Ursidae
Exons: 4
Source: RefSeq, a predicted model, not a curated record
GCGAUCCAACCAGUGGGCGAGAGUAGCUCCCCGUCGCGUCUUUCCAGCGCUCUGAGCCCUCGGGAGGUAUUUCUGCCCACUGAACGAUGUGAGGUCUCGGCAGUUACCCGCUUUCCCCAGGCAGUUUCCGACAGACGUUAAAGGAACUUAAAGCCGAGGAGUCUAAACAGGAGACCAGAAAGAGCAUCAUUCAUUCAUACAACAGAUGCUCUGGCCCCAAUUUCUGAUAAAAUCCUGUUCAUCCUUCAAGACCUCCUCACAUGUGACCACCUCUGUGAAGCUUCUCUGACCUGCAGACUUGGUUUUAUUUAUUUAUUUGUCCGAGGAGAGAGAGAGAGCGAGCUCACAAGCAGGAGGAGCA